UAAGCGAAUAAGCGUACACGGUGGAUGCCUAGGCAAUCAGAGGCGAUGAAGGACGUGCUAAUCUGCGAAAAGCGUCGGUAAGGUGAUAUGAACCGUUACACCCGACGAUAUCCGAAUGGGGAAACCCAGUAUCCAAUGGAUACUAUCAUUAACUGAAUCCAUAGGUUAAUGAGGCGAACCGGGAGAACUGAAACAUCUCAGUACCCCGAGGAAAAGAAAUCAACCGAGAUUCCCCUAGUAGCGGCGAGCGAACGGGGAGCAGCCCAGAGUCUUAAUCAAUAGCAGUGUCAGGAGAACGGUCUGGAAAGUCCGGCAGUAAAGGGUGAUAGCCCCGUAUCUGAAGAUGCUGUUGUUGUGAACUCGACGAGUAGGGCGGGACACGUGUUAUCCUGUCUGAAUAUGGGGGGACCAUCCUCCAAGGCUAAAUACUCCUGAUUGACCGAUAGUGAACCAGUACCGUGAGGGAAAGGCGAAAAGAACCCCGGCGAGGGGAGUGAAAAAGAACCUGAAACCGUGUACGUACAAGCAGUAGGAGCCUCUUUAUGGGGUGACUGCGUACCUUUUGUAUAAUGGGUCAGCGACUUAUAUUCUGUAGCAAGGUUAACCGUAUAGGGGAGCCGUAGGGAAACCGAGUCUUAACUGGGCGAAUGAGUUGCAGGGUAUAGACCCGAAACCCGGUGAUCUAUCCAUGGGCAGGUUGAAGGUUGGGUAACACUAACUGGAGGACCGAACCGACUAAUGUUGAAAAAUUAGCGGAUGACUUGUGGAUGGGGGUGAAAGGCCAAUCAAACCGGGAGAUAGCUGGUUCUCCCCGAAAGCUAUUUAGGUAGCGCCUCGUGAAUUCAUCUUCGGGGGUAGAGCACUGUUUCGACUAGGGGGUCAUCCCGACUUACCAACUCGAUGCAAACUGCGAAUACCGAAGAAUGUUAUCACGGGAGACACACGGCGGGUGCUAACGUCCGUCGUGAAGAGGGAAACAACCCAGACCGCCAGCUAAGGUCCCAAAGUCAUGGUUAAGUGGGAAACGAAGUGGGAAGGCUCAGACAGCCAGGAUGUUGGCUUAGAAGCAGCCAUCAUUUAAAGAAAGCGUAAUAGCUCACUGGUCGAGUCGGCCCGCGCGGAAGAUGUAACGGGGCUAAACCAUGCACCGAAGCUGCGGCAGCGACACAAAGUGUUGUUGGGUAGGGGAGCGUUCUGUAAGCCUGCGAAGGUGUACUGUGAGGUAUGCUGGAGGUAUCAGAAGUGCGAAUGCUGACAUAAGUAACGAUAAUGCGGGUGAAAAACCCGCACGCCGGAAGACCAAGGGUUCCUGUCCAACGUUAAUCGGGGCAGGGUGAGUCGACCCCUAAGGCGAGGCUGAAAAGCGUAGUCGAUGGGAAACGGGUUAAUAUUCCCGUACUGGUGGUAACUGCGAUGGGGGAACGGAGAAGGCUAGGUUGUCCGGGCGACGGUCGUCCCGGUUCAAGCAGGUAGGCAGAGUGAUUAGGCAAAUCCGGUCACUUAAUGCUGAGAUGUGAUGACGAACCACUAAGGUGGUGAAGCAAUUGAUGCCCCGCUUCCAGGAAAAGCCUCUAAGCUUCAGGUUACCAACAAUCGUACCCCAAACCGACACAGGUGGUCAGGUAGAGAAUACUCAGGCGCUUGAGAGAACUCGGGUGAAGGAACUAGGCAAAAUGGUGCCGUAACUUCGGGAGAAGGCACGCUGGCGGUAGGUAAAGUCCCUCGCGGACAGAGCUGAAGCCAGUCGAAGAUACCAGCUGGCUGCAACUGUUUAUUAAAAACACAGCACUGUGCAAACACGAAAGUGGACGUAUACGGUGUGACGCCUGCCCGGUGCUGGAAGGUUAAUUGAUGGGGUCAGCCGCAAGGCGAAGCUCCUGAUCGAAGCCCCAGUAAACGGCGGCCGUAACUAUAACGGUCCUAAGGUAGCGAAAUUCCUUGUCGGGUAAGUUCCGACCUGCACGAAUGGCGUAAUGAUGGCCAGGCUGUCUCCACCCGAGACUCAGUGAAAUUGAACUCGCUGUGAAGAUGCAGUGUACCCGCGGCAAGACGGAAAGACCCCGUGAACCUUUACUAUAGCUUGACACUGAACAUUGAGCCUUGAUGUGUAGGAUAGGUGGGAGGCUUUGAAGUGUGGACGCCAGUCUGCAUGGAGCCAACCUUGAAAUACCACCCUUUAACGUUUGAUGUUCUAACCUAGGCCCAUAAACUGGGUCGGGGACCGUGUCUGGUGGGUAGUUUGACUGGGGCGGUCUCCUCCUAAAGAGUAACGGAGGAGCACGAAGGUUGGCUAAGCAUGGUCGGACAUCAUGCGGUUAGUGCAAAGGCAUAAGCCAGCUUGACUGCGAGAGUGACGGCUCGAGCAGGUACGAAAGUAGGUCUUAGUGAUCCGGUGGUUCUGAAUGGAAGGGCCAUCGCUCAACGGAUAAAAGGUACUCCGGGGAUAACAGGCUGAUACCGCCCAAGAGUUCAUAUCGACGGCGGUGUUUGGCACCUCGAUGUCGGCUCAUCACAUCCUGGGGCUGAAGUAGGUCCCAAGGGUAUGGCUGUUCGCCAUUUAAAGUGGUACGCGAGCUGGGUUUAGAACGUCGUGAGACAGUUCGGUCCCUAUCUGCCGUGGGCGUUGGAAGAUUGAGAGGGGUUGCUCCUAGUACGAGAGGACCGGAGUGAACGCACCACUGGUGUUCGGGUUGUCAUGCCAAUGGCAUUGCCCGGUAGCUAAGUGCGGAAGAGAUAACCGCUGAAAGCAUCUAAGCGGGAAACUUGCCUCGAGAUGAGUCUUCCCUGUCGCUUUAAGCGACCUAAAGGAACGUUUAAGACUAAGACGUUGAUAGGCUGGGUGUGUAAGCGUAGCGAUACGUUGAGCUAACCAGUACUAAUGAACCGUGAGGCUUAACCU
This 2899-nucleotide ribosomal RNA is filed under the name Proteus mirabilis. Its description in RNAcentral is "bacterial LSU rRNA". It matches the Rfam family "Bacterial large subunit ribosomal RNA". Lineage: Bacteria; Pseudomonadati; Pseudomonadota; Gammaproteobacteria; Enterobacterales; Morganellaceae. The record is from RNAcentral.